RNAcentral lists this ribosomal RNA (478 nucleotides) under uncultured bacterium. Its description in RNAcentral is "partial 16S ribosomal RNA". It matches the Rfam family "Bacterial small subunit ribosomal RNA", at positions 38 to 507 of the family's 1533-position model. The record is from RNAcentral.
GGGGGGGGGGGGGGGGGGGGGGGGCGGGGGGGGGGCGGGGGGGGGUGGGGAAGCAGGGGCCCCGGGGGGAGAUUACUGGUGGGCGUGGCGAACGGGUGAGUGACGCGUGAGGAACCUGCCUAUGACAGUGGGCUAGCCUCGGGAAACCGGGAUUAAUACCGCAUCACAUCGUGGCACCACAUGUUUGCACGGGCACAGAUUUAUCGGUCAUAGAUGGGCCCGCGUCUGAUUAGCUCGUUGGUGAGAUAACAGCCCACCACGGCGACGAUCAGUAGCCGGUCUGAGAGGAUGAACGGCCACAGUGGAACUGAGACACGGUCCAAACUCCUACGGGAGGCAGCAGUGGGGAAUAUUGCACAAUGGGGGAAACCCUGAUGCAGCGACGCCGCGUGAACGAAGAAGGUAUUCGUAUCGUAAAGUUCUGUCCUAUGGGAAGAUAAUGACAGUACCAUAGAAGAAAGCUCCGGCUAAAUACGUG